Molecule: long non-coding RNA, 541 nt
Organism: Rhinopithecus roxellana (golden snub-nosed monkey)
Lineage: Eukaryota; Metazoa; Chordata; Mammalia; Primates; Cercopithecidae
Exons: 3
Source: RefSeq, a predicted model, not a curated record
CUGCUGGGCAGAAUAUGAAAACCGGUCAUUGGAGGGCCAGAAUCACUGCAGACUUGUUUGCCAGAAGAUAAAGAGAGAUGCUUGCUGCACAACAGUGGUUCAGAAGUGUUUUAAUGAACUAAGAAGAGAUAUACAAUUUGCAAAAGAAAACAACAACAGAGCAAAAACCAUACGGAUGUCUCUCUGCUUGGGCUCUCAUCUUGCCACCUUUCUACUGAACUUAUAUUUUGCCCUCAAGUUAAGUCUUUUUAAUGAUCAUAGCUUAACUCAAUUGCUAAUUAGCUCUUGUCUCCAAAUUGUAUUGUUUUCAACUAAUCUGAAAGAUGAAGAAAAGUUGUCUCCAUACAUCUCUUCAGGUUGGUAUUCCAUGUAACAAACUACCCCAAAAUGUAAUGGCAUAAAACAACAAUUUUAUUAGGUUCAUGGACUGUGUGGGGUAAGAAUUUGGACAGAAUACAGUGGGGAUACUUUGUCUCUGUUCCAUGAUAUAUGGGGUCACAACUUGGGGGUAACUUGACAGUGGGGAGUAACUUACUUGAUG